This 280-nucleotide ribosomal RNA is filed under the name Phocaeicola plebeius DSM 17135. RNAcentral describes it as "partial 16S ribosomal RNA". It matches the Rfam family "Bacterial small subunit ribosomal RNA", at positions 493 to 776 of the family's 1533-position model. Lineage: Bacteria; Pseudomonadati; Bacteroidota; Bacteroidia; Bacteroidales; Bacteroidaceae. The record is from RNAcentral.
UAUGGUAAUGUGUGCCAGCCGCGGUAAUACGGAGGAUGCGAGCGUUAUCCGGAUUUAUUGGGUUUAAAGGGAGCGCAGACGGGUCGUUAAGUCAGCUGUGAAAGUUUGGGGCUCAACCUUAAAAUUGCAGUUGAUACUGGCGUCCUUGAGUGCGGUUGAGGUGUGCGGAAUUCGUGGUGUAGCGGUGAAAUGCUUAGAUAUCACGAAGAACUCCGAUUGCGAAGGCAGCACACUAAGCCGUAACUGACGUUCAUGCUCGAAAGUGUGGGUAUCAAACAGG